This 254-nucleotide ribosomal RNA is filed under the name uncultured bacterium. RNAcentral's name for it is "partial 16S ribosomal RNA". It matches the Rfam family "Bacterial small subunit ribosomal RNA", at positions 524 to 776 of the family's 1533-position model. The record is from RNAcentral.
UACAGGGGGUGCAAACGUUGCUCGGAAUCAUUGGGCGUAAAGAGCUCGUAGGCGGCUCAGUAAGUCGGGUGUGAAAACUCCAGGCUCAACCUGGAGACGCCACCUGAUACUGCUGUGGCUAGAGUCCGGUAGGGGAGCAUGGAAUUCCUGGUGUAGCGGUGAAAUGCGCAGAUAUCAGGAGGAACACCAGUGGCGAAGGCGGUGCUCUGGGCCGGAACUGACGCUGAGGAGCGAAAGCGUGGGGAGCAAACAGG